Long non-coding RNA from Megalobrama amblycephala (Wuchang bream), 960 nucleotides. RefSeq lists it as uncharacterized. The record is from RefSeq and is a predicted model, not a curated record. The transcript is spliced from 2 exons. Lineage: Eukaryota; Metazoa; Chordata; Actinopteri; Cypriniformes; Xenocyprididae.
AAGACCAUAUUUAGUCAAGAAUAAACGUUUUUUUUUCUUCUAAAAGUUUAACAAUCAAAUCAUAGUGUAAAUAAAUGAUAUCCAAUAAUAAAAGAAAUUAAACUUGUCAAGAAGAAAAUAAAAUUAUUAUUUUCCCCCACAGUAUUUCACAUUCACAUUAUUUUCAUUGAUGAUUUUUGAGUUAGUUUUGGUCCUCGAUUCUGAUUGGACGAGAGGCUUUCCAAGCGUGCUAAUGACAAGGAAGUAAUGUGUGGUGUUUAUUUAUUUAUUUGACUUGGUUAUGAGGUUCGUUUAAUUAUGUUCAGCUUCUCCAAAUCGUCGAAAUCAGCCAGCUACUUCAGAGAAUCACAGUCCCUGCAGACAUCACAUGCUGUCCCAUCAGAGGUACAUUCUGUCCCUCUCGGCUGCUUUGAAUAUCGCUAAUUAAAAGACGGCUGUGAUAGACUAGAUAAGGGCUCAUUUCAGGGUGUUUUAAUGAAGGGAGUGAGUACUCUGAUGGCUAUCUGUCCGUCUAAAUGGAGGAGUUCAGCUGACGGGGGACAGACAGCGCACAAAUGAGGGGACGGCUGCGCGCACGAGAUAAGAACACGCUCCAGCACAAAUCCAUCUCAUUCAGAGAAAGGAUGGACGAAAGUGUGAUGGAACACAACUAGGACAGGGAACAGCCCCGGGCAGACUCAUUGUUCAGCUCCGUCACAAAAGGAACAAAGAUUUAAGACAACCUUACACGUGUUGGAUUUGACAAAUUGCAUUUUCAUGUACAAAGGAGAAGAAACCAACAGGAAAUUUAAUACCUGCCUGAAUAUUGUGGCAGCACAAUGUAUAUUGGGACCUUUUAUAUAGGCUUAUUCAUUGCACUAUAUUAUGAAAUUGUGUGAUAUGCAUUUGCAUAACUUAAAAUAAUAAUCAAAUACUCAGUAUAAGCACAAUAUGUUGAUCAAAUAAACAAGAGACGGUACA